Magnolia sinica is the source of this 110-nucleotide long non-coding RNA. RefSeq lists it as uncharacterized. NCBI's taxonomy places the organism in Eukaryota, Viridiplantae, Streptophyta, Magnoliopsida, Magnoliales, Magnoliaceae. The transcript has 2 exons. The record is from RefSeq and is a predicted model, not a curated record.
AAGGUGUUGAUGAUGAAGAAAAGAAAAGUUUCUUUGAUCAGCUGCUGUAUCCUGGAAAUAUUAAAUGGUCUCUGUUGAUUUCCAAGUCCAAGCAGCAAAAGUUUAACAUC